Molecule: small nuclear RNA, 104 nt
Organism: Jaculus jaculus (lesser Egyptian jerboa)
Lineage: Eukaryota; Metazoa; Chordata; Mammalia; Rodentia; Dipodidae
Source: Ensembl
GUGCUCGCUUCCGCAGCAGAUAUGCCAACAUUGGAACACUACAGAGAAGACUGGCAUGGCCCCUGCGCAAGGAUGACUGAGGUCCAGAAGAGUUCCAGCUCUGU